RNAcentral lists this transfer RNA (84 nucleotides) under Sandaracinaceae bacterium. RNAcentral describes it as "tRNA-Leu". It matches the Rfam family "tRNA". From Rfam's summary of the family: Transfer RNA (tRNA) molecules are approximately 80 nucleotides in length. Their secondary structure includes four short double-helical elements and three loops (D, anti-codon, and T loops). The record is from RNAcentral. Lineage: Bacteria; Pseudomonadati; Myxococcota; Polyangiales; Sandaracinaceae.
GGCCGAGUGGCGGAAUUGGCAGACGCGCCGGACUCAAAAUCCGGUACUAGCAAUAGUGUGUCGGUUCAACCCCGACCUCGGCUA